GAUGAACGCUAGCUACAGGCUUAACACAUGCAAGUCGAGGGGAAACGAUAGAGAAAGCUUGCUUUUUCUAGGCGUCGACCGGCGCACGGGUGAGUAACGCGUAUCCAACCUGCCCAUCACUUGGGGAUAACCUUGCGAAAGUAAGACUAAUACCCAAUGACGUCUCUAGAAGACAUCUGAAGGAGAUUAAAGAUUUAUCGGUGAUGGAUGGGGAUGCGUCUGAUUAGCUUGUUGGCGGGGUAACGGCCCACCAAGGCGACGAUCAGUAGGGGUUCUGAGAGGAAGGUCCCCCACAUUGGAACUGAGACACGGUCCAAACUCCUACGGGAGGCAGCAGUGAGGAAUAUUGGUCAAUGGACGAGAGUCUGAACCAGCCAAGUAGCGUGAAGGAUGACUGCCCUAUGGGUUGUAAACUUCUUUAUACGGGAAUAAAGUGAGGCAUGUGUGCCUUUUUGUAUGUACCGUAUGAAUAAGGAUCGGCUAACUCCGUGCCAGCAGCCGCG
Molecule: ribosomal RNA, 503 nt
Filed under: uncultured bacterium
Lineage: Bacteria
Description: bacterial SSU rRNA
Rfam family: Bacterial small subunit ribosomal RNA
Source: RNAcentral